This 555-nucleotide ribosomal RNA is filed under the name Triticum aestivum (bread wheat). RNAcentral describes it as "partial small subunit ribosomal RNA". Lineage: Eukaryota; Viridiplantae; Streptophyta; Magnoliopsida; Poales; Poaceae. The record is from RNAcentral.
AUGUUUCUAGUACGAACAGAUGGAUUCUCUUGUACUAGAGAAAAAGUAACAGAAUCAUCUUUAGCUUUUACUCAUCCUAGCACCCAGCAACAGAUGUUUAUGUGGAGAACUCCUCCCAAGACUGUCUUACUGUUGAAGAAAUUAGGUGAUGAGCUCAUGGAAGAGGCUAAAGAGGUUCAAGGAGAUGGUAUGAUAGUAGCAACACCAACUGACAGCACAGCAUACUCUACUGCAGCAGGGGAUUCAAUGGUACAUCUAAAUGUCCCAUGUAUGCUGUUCACUCCAAUCUGCCCAUACUCGCUGUCAUUUAGACCUGUCAUCCUUCCUGAUUCCGCACGGCUUGAAUUGAAGAUCCCGGAUGACGCGAGAAGCAAUGCAUGGGUGUCCUUCGACGGCAAAAGGCGGCAGCAGCUGUCGCGAGGAGACUCUCUUCAUAUAUCCAUGAGCAAGCACCUGCUCCCAACAGUCAACAAAUCGGACCGAACCGGCAACUGGUUCCGCAGCUUGAUCAGGUGCCUGAACUGGAAUGAGAGGCUGGACGAGAAGGCGCUCUAG